AGCCAAGUAGCGUGCAGGAUGACGGCCCUAUGGGUUGUAAACUGCUUUUAUAUGGGGAUAAAGUGGGGAACGUGUUCCCUUUUGCAGGUACCAUAUGAAUAAGGACCGGCUAAUUCCGUGCCAGCAGCCGCGGUAAUACGGAAGGUCCGGGCGUUAUCCGGAUUUAUUGGGUUUAAAGGGAGCGUAGGCUGUCUAUUAAGCGUGUUGUGAAAUUUACCGGCUCAACCGGUGGCUUGCAGCGCGAACUGGUCGACUUGAGUAUGCAGGAAGUAGGCGGAAUUCAUGGU
Molecule: ribosomal RNA, 287 nt
Filed under: uncultured Prevotella sp.
Lineage: Bacteria; Pseudomonadati; Bacteroidota; Bacteroidia; Bacteroidales; Prevotellaceae
Description: partial 16S ribosomal RNA
Rfam family: Bacterial small subunit ribosomal RNA
Source: RNAcentral